Molecule: ribosomal RNA, 450 nt
Filed under: uncultured Glomeromycotina
Lineage: Eukaryota; Fungi; Glomeromycota
Description: SSU rRNA
Rfam family: Eukaryotic small subunit ribosomal RNA
Source: RNAcentral
AGCAGCCGCGGUAAUUCCAGCUCCAAUAGCGUAUAUUAAAGUUGUUGCAGUUAAAAAGCUCGUAGUUGAAUUUCGGGAUCAAAGGAUCGGUCAUGCCUUGGCAUGUACUGGUUUUAUUGGUUCUCACCUUCUAAAGAACCAUAAUGUCAUUCAUUUGAUGUUAUGGGGAAUUAGGACUGUUACCUUGAAAAAAUUAGAGUGUUUAAAGCAGGCUUACGCUUGAAUACAUUAGCAUGGAAUAAUGAAAUAGGACGUUUGAUUCUAUUUUGUUGGUUUCUAGGAUCGACGUAAUGAUUAAUAGGGAUAGUUGGGGGCAUUAGUAUUCAAUUGUCAGAGGUGAAAUUCUUGGAUUUAUUGAAGACUAACUACUGCGAAAGCAUUUGCCAAGGAUGUUUUCAUUAAUCAAGAACGAAAGUUAGGGGAUCGAAGACGAUCAGAUACCGUCGUAGU